GUGGGGAAUCUUCCGCAAUGGACGAAAGUCUGACGGAGCGACGCCGCGUGAGUGAAGAAGGCCUUCGGGUCGUAAAGCUCUGUCAUCAGGGACGAACGGCCGGUGGAGUGGAAAGCCACCGGAUUGACGGUACCUGAGAAGGAAGCCACGGCUAACUACGUGCCAGCAGCCGCGGUAAUACGUAGGUGGCAAGCGUUGUCCGGAAUUAUUGGGCGUAAAGCGCGCGCAGGUGGGAUCUUAAGUCCAUUUUUAAAGUUCGGAGCUCAACUCCGUGAUGGGAUGGAAACUGGGAUUCUUGAGUACCGGAGAGGAAAGCGGAAUUCCCCGUGUAGCGGUGAAAUGCGUAGAUAUGGGGAGGAACACCAGUGGCGAAGGCGGCUUUCUGGACGGUGUCUGACACUGAGGCGCGAAAGCGUGGGGAGCAAACAGGAUUAGAAACCCGAGUAGUCC
Molecule: ribosomal RNA, 450 nt
Filed under: uncultured bacterium
Lineage: Bacteria
Description: partial 16S ribosomal RNA
Rfam family: Bacterial small subunit ribosomal RNA
Source: RNAcentral